CCCACAAUAAAUGGUACUGGCCUGUAGGUUCAAGUUUGUAGUGGGACAGCGCAGCACUCUCGGUCUCCCUGGUGCAGCUAGGCAAACUGCUGGUGUUGCUUGGGGGGCAGAGGCCAGCGGCGCUCUGCCCUGCUGCCAGCUCUUCCACUGGGGUAACCCGUGGUAAGUCAGGCUCUGAUACAGGGGAAAAGGGGGGGCAGAGGCUAACAGAGCUCUGCCCAGAGGCCAGCUCUUCUGCUGGGAGGGGGUCAGUGGGUAUCGCAGGCUCAUCCACUGCCCCCAGGACCCGGUUGGGAUGUAGCUGGGGAGGGGAAGUUUUACUUACCUCCUCCUCCUGGCAUCCCUGCGGGGUUGGUUGGGGAUCUGGACCGCCCGUCCAGCCUCCCUGUAGGACUGGCACAGAGACUGCGGUCCCAUCUGCGCCAGUGUGGUUAGGUUUGUCUUCCCCCUCUCCCGGUAUCUCUGGCUGCUGUUGGAGAGGGAGGCUGGUUGCCC
This is a non-coding RNA of Pelobates cultripes (western spadefoot toad), 495 nucleotides long. NCBI's taxonomy places the organism in Eukaryota, Metazoa, Chordata, Amphibia, Anura, Pelobatidae. The record is from the annotation of a GenBank genome assembly.